AGAACGAACGCUGGCGGCAUGCCUAACACAUGCAAGCCGAACGAGACCUUCGGGUCUAGUGGCGCACGGGUGCGUAACGCGUGGGAAUCUGCCCUUGGGUUCGGAAUAACAGUUGGAAACGACUGCUAAUACCGGAUGAUGACGUAAGUCCAAAGAUUUAUCGCCCAGGGAUGAGCCCGCGUAGGAUUAGCUAGUUGGUGAGGUAAAGGCUCACCAAGGCGACGAUCCUUAGCUGGUCUGAGAGGAUGAUCAGCCACACUGGGACUGAGACACGGCCCAGACUCCUACGGGAGGCAGCAGUGGGGAAUAUUGGACAAUGGGCGAAAGCCUGAUCCAGCAAUGCCGCGUGAGUGAUGAAGGCCUUAGGUUGUAAAGCUCUAUUACCCGGGAAGAUAAUGACUGUACCGGAGAAUAAGCUCCGGCUAACUCCGCGCCAGCAGCCGC
Molecule: ribosomal RNA, 444 nt
Filed under: uncultured soil bacterium
Lineage: Bacteria
Description: bacterial SSU rRNA
Rfam family: Bacterial small subunit ribosomal RNA
Source: RNAcentral